AUUGAACGCUGGCGGCAUGCCUUACACAUGCAAGUCGAACGGUAACGGGCCUUCGGGUGCCGACGAGUGGCGCACGGGUGCGCAAUACAUCGGAACGUGCCCGAUCGUGGGGGAUAACGAGGCGAAAGCUUUGCUAAUACCGCAUACGAUCUACGGAUGAAAGCCGGGGACCGCAAGGCCUUGCGCGGACGGAGCGGCCGAUGGCAGAUUAGGUAGUUGGUGGGAUAAAAGCUUACCAAGCCGACGAUCUGUAGCUGGUCUGAGAGGAUGAUCAGCCACACUGGGACUGAGACACGGCCCAGACUCCUACGGGAGGCAGCAGUGGGGAAUUUUGGACAAUGGGCGCAAGCCUGAUCCAGCCAUGCCGCGUGCAGGAUGAAGGCCUUCGGGUUGUAAACUGCUUUUGUACGGAACGAAAAGCCUUCUUUUAAUACAGGAGGGUCAUGACGGUACCGUAAGAAUAAGCACCGGCUAACUACGUG
RNAcentral lists this ribosomal RNA (482 nucleotides) under uncultured bacterium. RNAcentral's name for it is "partial 16S ribosomal RNA". It matches the Rfam family "Bacterial small subunit ribosomal RNA", at positions 30 to 507 of the family's 1533-position model. The record is from RNAcentral.